GAUGAACGCUGGCGGCGUGCCUAAUACAUGCAAGUCGAGCGAACGGACGAGAAGCUUGCUCCUCUGACGUUAGCGGCGGACGGGUGAGUAACACGUGGAUAACCUACCUAUAAGACUGGGAUAACUUCGGGAAACCGGAGCUAAUACCGGAUAAUAUAUUGAACCGCAUGGUUCAAUAGUGAAAGACGGUCUUGCUGUCACUUAUAGAUGGAUCCGCGCUGCAUUAGCUAGUUGGUAAGGUAACGGCUUACCAAGGCAACGAUGCAUAGCCGACCUGAGAGGGUGAUCGGCCACACUGGAACUGAGACACGGUCCAGACUCCUACGGGAGGCAGCAGUAGGGAAUCUUCCGCAAUGGGCGAAAGCCUGACGGAGCAACGCCGCGUGAGUGAUGAAGGUCUUCGGAUCGUAAAACUCUGUUAUUAGGGAAGAACAAAUGUGUAAGUAACUGUGCACGUCUUGACGGUACCUAAUCAGAAAGCCACGGCUAACUACGUG
RNAcentral lists this ribosomal RNA (497 nucleotides) under uncultured bacterium. RNAcentral's name for it is "partial 16S ribosomal RNA". It matches the Rfam family "Bacterial small subunit ribosomal RNA", at positions 28 to 507 of the family's 1533-position model. The record is from RNAcentral.